Molecule: long non-coding RNA, 1184 nt
Organism: Oncorhynchus tshawytscha (Chinook salmon)
Lineage: Eukaryota; Metazoa; Chordata; Actinopteri; Salmoniformes; Salmonidae
Source: Ensembl
AUAACAUAAUAAUGUGUUACCCAGUAAAAGGACAGUGACAUGUAAAGAGCAGUAGAGAGAGAGAGAGGGGCUGUAUGUGUAAUGAGCUUUGUGACUGUCCUCCCUUCCUUUUUUUCUCACUCUUUUGGGAGACAUGCGUUUUCCAGCUGCACAGCCCCCACAGUGCGAGGCCAGGCCAGGAGCACAGCUGGCCAGACAUGGUGGAGCCAGUCGACAGGCGCAUGGAGCGCCGCCCGCCCUCUUCCUCCGCAAACAUGUCCAGGUGUAGGGCCUCCGAGCUGGGCUUCUGAUCUGCACUAAACAGGUGCAAACAGCCACUGUUGCUGUCACCUGUUGAGGAGGAAGUUUGGGCUGACUAUCACACUAUAUAAAAAAGGUCACAAAGAUCCUCUUCCCCGCCUGCAUUCUGAAGGUGAGAUUUUGAACAGUUCCCACUGACUGAUUGUCAAAGUACCAGGCUGAUUCCAGCUGACACUAAGAACAGAAUAUGGAACACUACUCAUCACCCAAAGCAUAUAAUUCACAAGAUCAUCCAGUCAUAUUGUCAUUACAGUAUGUGAUAUGAUAUUUGCAGAAUAUUUGGUACAGUAGUUAAAUCUAUGAAAUGCAUGUUUCCCCACAAAUAGAAAACCACCAAACAAAUGAGCCAAUACUCUGACAGUAAAACACUCACAGAGGCUGCUGAAUAUGAUUUCUGUUAUUUCCUUUAGAGGCAAAAAUAAGUGCUGAUUCAUAGUGACAAUCAGAGACUCAUAAGUUGUGCAAUAAAACUUUGGGGAGGUGUGUGUGUGUGAAUAUGUGUCAGGGUUUGUAUUUACAUGUUGCGACAGAACCAAGGCCCUCUGUGUUGGUAAUUGGCUUUGCACAAUGAAUGAGACUUAGCAGUAUAGUGCCAACAACAACCUCUCCCUCAACACCAGUAUGACCAAAGAGCUGAUCGUGGACUAUAGGAGAAAGAGGGGAGAGCACGCCCCCAUCAACAGGGCGGUUGUGGAGCGAGUCGAGAACUUCCAAGUUCCAUGGGGUGCGCAUCACUAAGGACCUAACAUGGUCCACACACACCCACACAGUUGUGAAGAGGACACGGCAGCGCCUCUUCCGCCUCAGGAGGCUGAAAAGGUUUGUCAUGGGCCCUCGGAUCCUCAAAAAGAUCAUCACUGCUUGGUAUAGGAAAUCCAAAGCGC